Molecule: ribosomal RNA, 274 nt
Filed under: uncultured bacterium
Lineage: Bacteria
Description: partial 16S ribosomal RNA
Rfam family: Bacterial small subunit ribosomal RNA
Source: RNAcentral
AUACGGAGGGGGUUAGCGUUGUUCGGAAUUACUGGGCGUAAAGCGUGCGUAGGCGGACUAUUAAGUCAGAGGUGAAAUCCCGGGGCUCAACCCCGGAACUGCCUUUGAUACUGGUAGUCUUGAGGUCGAGAGAGGUGAGUGGAAUUCCUAGUGUAGAGGUGAAAUUCGUAGAUAUUAGGAGGAACACCAGUGGCGAAGGCGGCUCACUGGCUCGAUUCUGACGCUGAGGUACGAAAGUGUGGGGAGCAAACAGGAUUAGAUACCCCAGUAGUCC